RNAcentral lists this long non-coding RNA (297 nucleotides) under Monodelphis domestica (gray short-tailed opossum). RNAcentral's name for it is "lncRNA (ENSMODG00000040157.1)". The record is from RNAcentral. Lineage: Eukaryota; Metazoa; Chordata; Mammalia; Didelphimorphia; Didelphidae.
ACUCACUCAGAGGAGAGAAGAUACCUAUAGGCAGAGAUGGCUGGAGUGAAGGAUGAAUAUCCAUGAGUACAGCCUGGGACUCCAAAGCAUUUUUACCAGUUCUUUAAUAAGAAGAGACUGUGAAGGACUUGGAGAAAUCCAGGAGGUACAAUUUAUGUUUAAGGUACCCGAGCAUCAACCCUGAGGUGGAGCUGUCUAGACUAGGUAGUGAUGGUGACUUCAUGAGAGCCAGAGACCCUGGAUCUGGUGAGCAAAGCUGACUGGUGGCAAGACACUGGCAAGAGGAAGAGGUGAAGC